Molecule: long non-coding RNA, 442 nt
Filed under: Astyanax mexicanus (Mexican tetra)
Lineage: Eukaryota; Metazoa; Chordata; Actinopteri; Characiformes; Acestrorhamphidae
Description: lncRNA (ENSAMXG00005011054.1)
Source: RNAcentral
AUUAAUAACCCAAUACUCCAACCACUGAGACACCACUGCUGUAAUGCUGUACAUUUUAUAAACUUCAGAUUUUUUGAUUUGAUAAAAGUAUAGGCUGAUGAUUUGAACUUACUCAGUUUUGUUAAAAUUUGCUGUAAUUAAUGACUUUCUGACUUUUUUUAGAAAAAGGUAAAAUAAUUGAGCAGCUCCAAACAGAAAACACAAACCUGAACACUUCUCUUGCAGGUAAGACAUAGCUUUACUUCUUAUAAUGAAAUGUUUAACUCAUUCAGCUCAACAGUCUUUUCACUCUUCUAAAACUGCCCUUUCCAGAAAAAGGUAAAAUAAUUGACCAGCUUCAAACAGAAAACUCAAACCUGAACACGACUCUUAAAGAGAGAGAUGAUAAAAUUAAGCAGCUCGAGAAAGAAAAAGGAACCUGUGAUCCCAAAUCGCAGAAUGU